GACGAACGCUGGCGGCGUGCUUAACACAUGCAAGUCGAACGGAAAGGCCCUGCUUUUGUGGGGUGCUCGAGUGGCGAACGGGUGAGUAACACGUGAGUAACCUGCCCUUGACUUUGGGAUAACUUCAGGAAACUGGGGCUAAUACCGGAUAGGAGCUCCUGCUGCAUGGUGGGGGUUGGAAAGUUUCGGCGGUUGGGGAUGGACUCGCGGCUUAUCAGCUUGUUGGUGGGGUAGUGGCUUACCAAGGCUUUGACGGGUAGCCGGCCUGAGAGGGUGACCGGCCACAUUGGGACUGGGGUACGGCCCAGACUCCUACGGGAGGCAGCAGUGGGGAAUAUUGCACAAUGGGCGGAGGCCGGAUGCAGCAACGCCGCGUGCGGGAUGACGGCCUUCGGGUUGUAAACCGCUUUCGCCUGUGACGAAGCGUGAGUGACGGUAAUGGGUAAAGAAGCACCGGCAAACUACGU
RNAcentral lists this ribosomal RNA (467 nucleotides) under uncultured bacterium. Its description in RNAcentral is "partial 16S ribosomal RNA". It matches the Rfam family "Bacterial small subunit ribosomal RNA", at positions 28 to 506 of the family's 1533-position model. The record is from RNAcentral.